Macaca fascicularis (crab-eating macaque) is the source of this 1572-nucleotide long non-coding RNA. NCBI's taxonomy places the organism in Eukaryota, Metazoa, Chordata, Mammalia, Primates, Cercopithecidae. The record is from Ensembl.
AGGAGUCCUCCUUUCUGAGCUCCAGCCCCAGCCCCUCGAACCACCUGUAAUCUAGGCACCUUUGCCAACACCUCCCAAGGAUGGAGGACUGGGCGAGGGACUGGGAAAGAGGCAUAUUUAGUUUUGUGGGGCCUAUCUCCGCUGCCUCCUUCUCCACUUCUGCAAUCUCAUUCCCUCUCUCUCUCUCUCUCUCUGUCUCUCUCUCUCUCUCUCAGAAGUGACAAUUCAGAAAAAGAAAAGAAAACUGAGAAUGCAGGUUUUUCUACUAACAGCUGAGGAGACAGGCUUUCUUACUUUAAUGUCUCUCCUUCUGACACUGUCCAGAAGGGAGAAAUUUGUCCUGUAAAAUAGACUUCCAGAGCUCUUUUGCCCCCUCUGCUCCCACGCACCCUCCCCUUCCAAGUCCUUUAGCAAGGCCUGGAUGUUUAGGGAGAAAGUGGUCCAAGGCUGCUGACAAGAGGGACCAAAGGGGGUGCUGGGUUCCCAGGGAGCAGGGAUGUUUAAUUACUAUGUCAUGAUGUGAGCUGAACUCCUCGAAUUGAAGAGACCUACACUUGGUCACAUUCUCUCACGCUGCCUUCAGGAUCCCCAGCCCCCAACUCUUCUUCCUGAGGAUGGAAAUCCACUCCAGCCCCACUAGGACUGAUGUGGGUGCCAUACAGACAGGAGCGGCCCACCAGGGAAGUGUAGGGAGGAAGCUGAAUAUCCCAGAGUAGCUGGACCACAAAGACUUGGGUCAGAGCCGAUUUCAACCCCAAAAUUGUCUCUUGGGUUCACCCUACUCUUCUGAAAAUGAAAAUUUGUUUGGGGCCUUGGUAACCGAUAGUGGUACAAACUCCAAGGCACUGUGGACUUGAGUCCAUUCCUAUCUGACCUCUUUUUGUCCCCCUCAAGCCUCAAGGGCCUCAAGCCCCUCCUUAGUAGCCCUUGGCCGACCGGGCCCUGAGCCCCAAACAUCCUUUUUCCCAACGACCCUCCUUCCCCUUCCUUCCCCCACCCUUACCUACACCCAAAGUGGAGCAGACUGCAGCCAGAUUCUCCAGGUGGGAGAUCCAAGCUUCCCUCCCGGGGGGUGGAGUCCACUCUGGGCUUACUUCGAGGCCUGUUCUGUGGAUUGGUGAGCCAAGCUGGCACUCCUUGCCCUGGUCUUACCUAGGUUCUCUGUCCCCCUCUCACUUCCUGUGGGGCCGGAAUCUGUAUUUAUCCAUCCCCCUUUCCCUUCUUUAUAGAAGUCCCUGUCCUAAACUCCCUCCCUACCCCAAGAGAGCCCCAGAACUGGGGAAGCCUGACCCAUACAGAAUGGGGAGGGCACUCUAGGCAGGAGAGACAUUAAUGAGCCUGGCUGCGGAGUGGCCCUGGAAAGGCAGGCCAGAAUGGCUGAGAGGCCGGGAGUGGGGGAGCCUGUUCUCUCAGCGAUAGUGAUGGGGGUGCCUUUCCGAGGGGGUGGGGUGGGAAGACCAAGGGGUGGGGGUAGAUAGGGUACAUUCAGGAGGGUUUUCCUCCAUUUCUUUUUUCUAACUGCCUGGAUUCACCAUUGGAUUUUGUAAAUGGAAAAACUGAAAUGAACAAUGC